This 426-nucleotide ribosomal RNA is filed under the name uncultured Lysobacteraceae bacterium. RNAcentral describes it as "bacterial SSU rRNA". It matches the Rfam family "Bacterial small subunit ribosomal RNA", at positions 356 to 774 of the family's 1533-position model. The record is from RNAcentral. Lineage: Bacteria; Pseudomonadati; Pseudomonadota; Gammaproteobacteria; Lysobacterales; Lysobacteraceae.
GGGGAAUAUUGGACAAUGGGCGCAAGCCUGAUCCAGCCAUACCGCGUGGGUGAAGAAGGCCUUCGGGUUGUAAAGCCCUUUUGUUGGGAAAGAAAAGCAGCCGGUUAAUACCCGGUUGUUCUGACGGUACCCAAAGAAUAAGCACCGGCUAACUUCGUGCCAGCAGCCGCGGUAAUACGAAGGGUGCAAGCGUUAAUCGGAAUUACUGGGCGUAAAGGGUGCGUAGGCGGUUAUUUAAGUCUGCCGUGAAAUCCCCGGGCUCAACCUGGGAAUGGCGGUGGAUACUGGAUAGCUAGAGUGUGUCAGAGGAUGGUGGAAUUCCCGGUGUAGCGGUGAAAUGCGUAGAGAUCGGGAGGAACAUCAGUGGCGAAGGCGGCCAUCUGGGACAACACUGACGCUGAAGCACGAAAGCGUGGGGAGCAAACA